Molecule: ribosomal RNA, 395 nt
Filed under: Socotracris kleukersi
Lineage: Eukaryota; Metazoa; Arthropoda; Insecta; Orthoptera; Phalangopsidae
Description: partial 12S ribosomal RNA
Source: RNAcentral
UAUUAUAUUAUUGAUUAUAAUUUAGACUUGAGUAGUAUUAGUUAUGUUCUUGAAACUUAAAGAAUUUGGCGGUGUUUUAGUCCUUUUAGAGGAAUCUGUAUUGUAAUUGAUAGUACACGAUUUGUUUUACCUUUUUUAUUUUAAUUUAUAUACCGUUGUCAUAAGAUUAUUUCAUAGGAGAAUUAUAAAAUUUCUGGAUUUAGGAUUUUAAAGUAUGUCAAAUCAAGGUGUAGUUUAUGGAGAGGAUUUUAUGGGUUACAAUAAUAUUAAUUAUAUGGAUAGGCUAUUUAGUGAGUUAUUGAAGGUGGAUUUAAUUGUAAAUUUAUUUUGAUUAUUAAGUUGAUUGGGGCUCUAGAAUGUGUACAUAUCGCCCGUCGCUCUCGUUUUAAUAUGAG